CCAAUAGCGUAUAUUAAAGUUGUUGCAGUUAAAAAGCUCGUAGUUGAACUUCGGGGUCUACCCAUUGGUCAGGCUUAAUUGUCUGUACUGGUGAGAUGGACCCCUACCUUCUGAGGAACUUUCAUGCCAUUUAUUUGGUGUGGUUGGAAAUCAGGACUGUUACUUUGAAAAAAUUAGAGUGUUUAAAGCAGACUAUCGUCUGAAUACAUUAGCAUGGAAUAAUGAAAUAGGACGGACUGAUUCUAUUUCGUUGGUUUCUAGGAUCACCGUAAUGAUUAAUAGGGAUAGUUGGGGGCAUUAGUAUUCAAUUGUCAGAGGUGAAAUUCUUGGAUUUAUUGAAGACUAACUACUGCGAAAGCAUUUGCCAAGGAUGUUUUCAUUAAUCAAGAACGAAAGUUAGGGGAUCGAAGACGAUCAGAUACCGUCGUAGUCUUAACCAUAAACUAUGCCGACUAGGGAUCGGACGAAGUUAAUUUUAUAAUGACGCGUUCGGCACCUUACG
Molecule: ribosomal RNA, 502 nt
Filed under: uncultured Glomeromycotina
Lineage: Eukaryota; Fungi; Glomeromycota
Description: partial small subunit ribosomal RNA
Rfam family: Eukaryotic small subunit ribosomal RNA
Source: RNAcentral